CGGCGAACGGGUGAGUAACACGUGGGUGAUCUGCCCUGCACUCUGGGAUAAGCUUGGGAAACUGGGUCUAAUACCGGAUAUGACCACAGCAUGCAUGUGUUGUGGUGGAAAGAUUUAUCGGUGCAGGAUGGGCCCGCGGCCUAUCAGCUUGUUGGUGGGGUAAUGGCCUACCAAGGCGACGACGGGUAGCCGACCUGAGAGGGUGACCGGCCACACUGGGACUGAGACACGGCCCAGACUCCUACGGGAGGCAGCAGUGGGGAAUAUUGCACAAUGGGCGGAAGCCUGAUGCAGCGACGCCGCGUGAGGGAUGAAGGCCUUCGGGUUGUAAACCUCUUUCAGCAGGGACGAAGCGUGAGUGACGGUACCUGCAGAAGAAGCACCGGCUAACUACGUGCCAGCAGCCGCGGUAAUACGUAGGGUGCGAGCGUUGUCCGGAAUUACUGGGCGUAAAGAGUUCGUAGGCGGUUUGUCGCGUCGUUUGUGAAAACCCGGGGCUCAACUUCGGGCUUGCAGGCGAUACGGGCAGACUUGAGUGUUUCAGGGGAGACUGGAAUUCCUGGUGUAGCGGUGAAAUGCGCAGAUAUCAGGAGGAACACCGGUGGCGAAGGCGGGUCUCUGGGAAACAACUGACGCUGAGG
Molecule: ribosomal RNA, 641 nt
Filed under: Rhodococcus sp. I13A-01661
Lineage: Bacteria; Bacillati; Actinomycetota; Actinomycetes; Mycobacteriales; Nocardiaceae
Also listed under: 1 other name
Description: bacterial SSU rRNA
Rfam family: Bacterial small subunit ribosomal RNA
Source: RNAcentral